UACAGAUGUUACCAUUGGGUAAAACUGGGUGAAGGAUACAGAGAUUCCUCUGUGUUAUUUCUCACAACUGCCUCUGAACCUAUAAAUAUCU
Non-coding RNA from Ceratotherium simum simum (southern white rhinoceros), 91 nucleotides. The record is from RefSeq and is a predicted model, not a curated record. Lineage: Eukaryota; Metazoa; Chordata; Mammalia; Perissodactyla; Rhinocerotidae.